UUGACUCUGCGGCGUCCGUGAUGAGUUGGCACACGGGGCGAGCCAACACUUCACAAACGGGAGCUAGACCAAGCGACGUGGAUGUGGUAGCCCACAAGGCAAGACGGAAGCGUCCAGUCUGCACCCACCUGCUUACGCAGGUUCGUACCCACUGACCACACGGCGCUGUGGAGUCUGC
This 178-nucleotide non-coding RNA is filed under the name Caldilineaceae bacterium. Its description in RNAcentral is "6S RNA". It matches the Rfam family "6S / SsrS RNA". From Rfam's summary of the family: E. coli 6S RNA was the first non coding RNA to be sequenced, but its function was unknown until recently. It consists of 184 nucleotides that fold into an extended hairpin structure with a large single-stranded internal bulge. Lineage: Bacteria; Bacillati; Chloroflexota; Caldilineae; Caldilineales; Caldilineaceae. The record is from RNAcentral.